GCAUCCUUAUAUCUUUUCAGUGCACAUUGCAAUGCAUUGCUGUUCUUGUUGCUUUACAACUAAGCUAUGAAAUUGCAUGGGUCUAUCAUACCCAGGAGAGUGUAUUGCCUGAAAUGAGCCAAGCUUGCAUUCUGUGUUCAUUCAGUGUUGGGCGGACUGCCUGGUUAAAAGAAUAAAAGAAGGCAUACAAUGCACAGCUGCACUCUGCAGGGGGCUUUCUGCUCAAACUAGAAUCUGAUAAUCCCAAAGGGAAAGGCGUUUCAUGCCUCGGCAUGAGAGGUUGGCAGUUCAGACAUGGCCAAGAAGGGACUGGCUUCUGCUGCAUUGAGAUGCCUCCAGAACAACUUAACUACAACCAAAACAAGAUCUGAUAUACCUGAAUGCUUUUUAAAACACCUUUUGCCUUGUGAAGAAGCCAGCAGAUCUUCGAAAGCUUGCUUGAUGUUUUGUGGAUUUUGGUUGGCCAACAAAGCAAAUUUCGGAAUCGUUCAUCCCGAAGGACCCAAUGAGGCAGGUCAGUUUGACCAGUAAGCUGGGCAUCCUCCAGGCGUUGGCGCAACUCUCUCAGGACAGAUAACUCCUCAUUCAAGUGCCUCUGUUUUGUUCUGGAAGCCUGAAGAUCCAGCUCCAGGUCUAGUGAUGUCCUUUCCAUAAGAUCAGCCAAAGAUGAUCUACAUGAUUGCUGAGAGGGAUUGAAAUAAAAAUAAAAAUGGG
Anolis carolinensis (green anole) is the source of this 714-nucleotide long non-coding RNA. RefSeq lists it as uncharacterized. The record is from RefSeq and is a predicted model, not a curated record. The transcript is spliced from 3 exons. Lineage: Eukaryota; Metazoa; Chordata; Lepidosauria; Squamata; Anolidae.